GUUUAGCCCAGAUAGAAGUGGAAAGCUCCCGAUUUUUCAUCGGGACUUGCAACGAAUAGCUGGAUUAGCU
This 70-nucleotide small RNA is filed under the name Flavobacterium aquatile LMG 4008 = ATCC 11947. RNAcentral describes it as "Flavobacterium aquatile LMG 4008 Flavo-1 RNA". It matches the Rfam family "Flavo-1 RNA". Lineage: Bacteria; Pseudomonadati; Bacteroidota; Flavobacteriia; Flavobacteriales; Flavobacteriaceae. The record is from Rfam by way of RNAcentral.